AGCAGUCGCCGCGGUAAUACGUAGGUGGCAAGCGUUGCCCGGAAUUAUUGGGCGUAAAGGGCUCGCAGGCGGUUUCUUAAGUCUGAUGUGAAAGCCCCCGGCUCAACCGGGGAGGGUCAUUGGAAACUGGGAAACUUGAGUGCAGAAGAGGAGAGUGGAAUUCCACGUGUAGCGGUGAAAUGCGUAGAGAUGUGGGGGAACACCAGUGGCGAAGGCGACUCUCUGGUCUGUAACUGACACUGAGGAGCGAAAGCGUGGGGAGCGAACAGGAUUAGAUACCCCUGUAGUCCCUGUCUCUUAUAA
This 303-nucleotide ribosomal RNA is filed under the name uncultured bacterium. Its description in RNAcentral is "partial 16S ribosomal RNA". It matches the Rfam family "Bacterial small subunit ribosomal RNA", at positions 507 to 809 of the family's 1533-position model. The record is from RNAcentral.